UACAUUUAAAAAAUAAAAAUGUUUACAGCUAACCAACAGUGAGAUCUGGUGCAUAUCUGCCUUUGUGCCAUGCUUUGACUCAGAUCCCAGAGAAGUCACAGAGUGAGCAAAUGGGUUUCGGUUGGACGGCACUCAACCACAAGUGCUUCAGGAGCUCAUCUAAUGUGCUUCAGCUGCUGAAUCAAGUCUCCUGCUGCCCCCGAAACACAUAUAGGAUCUAUAAAAAGCCCUCAGUGCCAGCUCCUUUGCUGUGCUGAUUUCCCUCCCAUAGCACAGUGCAGCUUCCUGAAGCUAACCUGCCUUCAGCUUAGCAGCAGCUCCUGGAAAGCUCUUGUUGCUCAGCUUUGGUCCUCAGCUCUUGCUUUAGUGCAAGGAUUGCAAGCAAAGGCACUUCAGCAGAGAGGUAAAUGCUUUGCAGCGCUGGUUUCUCGGACAACCCCGAAAUGAGCUGACGGGCACGGCGCAGGCUGGGCUGGCUGCCUGGGAGGCAGAGUGCAGGAGAGCCUCCGAGAGCGGCGUGGAGGAGGAGGAGGAGGAGGACACCAGGAGAAAGAGGACGGGACCAGCUUACCUCCAUAGGUAUCUCAGGAAGGGGGGGAGCGAUAUUCACCUGAAGAAUAUGCACCCAGUUCCUGCCUAAUACUGAAAUUCCUUAAAAGAGAGCAGCUCCUUAGCACUCCCACAGCCCUUGCCCUAUCUCCCACUCGGAGCCGCUUGCUUAAAAGCUGGCCGACCUGCACCUUUCUGGCCAAAGAUGACCAGAAAGACCUGGGGAGUCCUUAGAGCCCGGUGGAUCCUUGAGCAACCCUUUAAUUCCUCCCACCUCGGCCCUCGCUGCAGCCAGCAGUGAAAAUGCUGCUCCUGAAGCAGGCUGCGGUGGCUGCUGGACGGCACGGAGCAUCACCUGCCCACAGGGACCCAGCUUUCUGCAGCGUUAUCAGAAAUGUUUCCAUGCGUUUGUUUGCAAAAUGUCUUUAUCCAGCCAGGAGAAAUGUCCCUUGAAGUCAGCUAACCAAAUAAAUAAAUAACAGUCAAAGACAAUAGAGUGGAAAAGUUUCUAGAGGGAAAUAAGUGAUGGAUUGGAAGAGAUUUGAGGCUGUUAUGGUGUACAACUCAGUGCGUGAUGUGACAGGAGAGAAUCCUCAUUGUGCCCUUUCCUGGUCUUCCAUUUUAAAUGAAGUCCUAAAAAUGCUGAUUUAAAAGGGUUGGAGAAGCAAAACAAAAUAGGCAGAUGUAUGGUGUGACAUUUUUGUUGUAGACUUCAAUUUUUUUCAUAAUACAGCUGCUGGUAGCUGUGUCGGAACAGAGUUCUUUGACCAGGGUGCAGAAGGGAUGCUGGAGCUGAUGGCAGUUUUUUAGUGUGCUCAUGCACAAGUCUGAACAAAGAGAGCAGUGAUUUCACUUUGCAACCAUAAUAAUAGCAAGCAACAGGAAUUCUGACCUGGAAUUUGUCUUUGCAUUCCAAGAGUAUCCUUGAGCAGUCUGUGGAGACCCAGGGAAAACAGCUGAUUAAUGCCACCAUUAAUGAAAAUAAACACAGCAUAAAAUUCCAAGUAGCGGGACUGCUUCCCAAAGCAUCCAGGAGUGAGGGAUAACAGCAAAUGCAAUAAAGCAGAAAUCCGCUUUGACUGUCAAGGGGUAAUGUUUCCUAGCUCAGACCCAGGCCUGUGAGGGGGAACAUACCAUCCAUAGCAAAGCAGUCUGCGACCUUGAAGUGCUCAUGUGCUUGAAAAGCGAUCUCAGAAAUGCAGACAUGAAUGUUAUUGGUGGCUGUUUCCCCAUUCCCAGCCUCUGCAAAGGGUCCCAUGCUAUCUCCUGUACUGCACAGGACCUGGCUGCUGUUGAUGCUCAGGGUGCUAUUGCCCCAAACGUCAAGUCAGAAGUUUCCUGGCAGGUUUUGUGGGAAAACAGCAGUAAAUAUUCUGCCCACCAUCAACAGGCAGAUUUGUCAAGGAGGUGCCUGUAGUGCGAGUGGUGGGGUGUGCAGGUAUUUGUGUGCAUGAGUCCGCGCCUGGGAGAGGUCUCUGCCUCUUUCUCAUGUGUGUAUUUAUCUCACCAAUUUGACCGAAGGAAUUACAGGAUUGAAAGGAAAUUAAUAGCUUAGCACCCAGUCAGCUUCUUAUUUUGAAUCAAUCCAUUCUUGUCACUUGGACUGAACUAAAUAAUUAAUCGUGCUACCUAAAAAUAAUUACGGCUAAUAUCACAGAGAUUACACUAGCCAGUUCUAACAAUAAUGUUGUUAAGAACAUCUAAAUAACCCUAUAUUUAAUUACAGUCUGGCUUGUUUAGUGAUGUACAGGUUUGGGGCUUUCUCUCACUGCAAAUUUGGGCCAGUUACAUUUAUUAAAUGAGAACUUUUUAUAGCUAGUGUUCAAAUUAUCAAAUACUUGCCUAAAGCAAUCCCAUUGAUCAAGUGUAUCAUUUGUAAUACAAAUGUUUUUAUUAGGAGGCUUUGUUCAAGAUAAAUGAAGGAUCAAAUUAACUGGAGAUUGGUUUGAGUAGAAAAUGCUGCAGCUGGAUAAUUUCAAGCACUGAGGCUGAACAUUUCUUUCAAAUGACGAGAAGUCAUCAACUAAGUCUUAAUAUAAAACAUGCACGCACAGAGGCAUCUUUGUAUUGAUUCCUCUCAUUUCUAUGGCACUCUUUAUACAAAGCACAUCAGGUUUUGUAGGAAAGGUUGCAAACCCAUCACAUCACUGCCACUAAACCAAUCUGAGAUAUUUUUUUUUCUGGCCAAAACUAUGUAUGCUAUCAAAAUACCAGCAUGCCCCAGAACCUUCUUCCCACUCCCUCUUUUUUCAACCCCAUUGUGCUACCUCUGUUCCCACCCAGGAAGAUUUAUUGUGCAGCUCUGUUCUUAAUUCAAAUGCCUCCCUUGCAGCUGGGCUGGGGCAGUAGUGUGCCUUCUUUUUGGAAGGGAAACAAGGAGCCUAGACACGUGAAUAUUUACCUCUUUCCAGCAUUCGUGGUAGCACAGCAGGGUUUGGAUGUGAUUGAGGGUUUGCCCAUGAUCAGCCAGUGGAAAAUGAGCAUGUGAGUGCAAUGCUGUUACUUUAUAUAUAUACACAUAUUAAUACAGUCUGCGUUAGGAAAGCUAUUUGUCUGGGGUUACAUUUUUGGCUGCCAUGUAGAACUGUAGGUAUUAAAUAGUUGCUUUCUAAAUUAAGCUCUCCCCUUGCCACAUCCCACUCCCAUAGCGAUGCAUGGAGCGUUUGCUGAUACAGGCAAUACAGAUGUCUGGGGAGCUGCUGUAAAACCUCCCAAGAUUUACAGCUCCUCCGCCAGGUUUCUCCAUGGGUUGGCUUCAGAGGGAGAGGUCUCACAGGCAUUCAGGAUCCUUUCAAAUCUAUCUCCAGAGGCACCCGCAAUAAUCAGAGGAAAUCCCUUGAAGCCCAUCAGAUAAAAUUUACAGACCUGGAAAGGCAGCAUGGAGCAUCCAGAGAUGAGACUGCAGCAUCGCAUCCCUGUUCAGCUUGCAGGACUGCUUUCAGAGGACAGCUACUGGUGGGACAUAACGGCCUCUCCAGCCUCUUUCCUCAAUCUGUUCCCAGGCAUGAGGGUAAAUAGCUUAGAGGAGAAAAAUUCAUGCUUGUUAUAUGGUGCUGAUUUCAGGAAAGCUGACACAGAUUGAUUUCACCAGGAAUAUCUCUUGUGCUUUGUUUUAUUUUAGUAGAUAGUCUGUUUUCAGGGAAAACAAACAAACAAAAAAAAAACAACAAAACAACAACAACAAAACCAGCGUGAUCUAGGUUUAGAAAUGACUCAUGUUUGGCCACCCAAAUAACAUGACAGUUGGGAAAUCUCAGCUAAGUUCAAUGUCCUGCCUCUGUCUGCAACAUCUCCUGGAAAAGCCACGGAAGUGACUCACAGGUUGCUCCAUCUGCCAAGAGCUUCCCUGUCUGCUGUCCUUGCAAAAAGAGAUUUCCUCAUCUUGGGCAGCAGCUGAGUUUUUGUGUGCAGUCAAAACUGCCUCUGAAAACAGAGGACGUCUGAGAGAAGGGCUGAUACAACAGAGUUUUAGGCAGGAAUACAUCUGAAAAUGAAGUUUGGCAAAGAAAGCUUAAAAGGGAGAAAUGUGCAGAAGUUACAUGAGCAAAAUCCUGAUUUCUCCAACAUUGUUUUCAGAAGGGGAGUGACAACUUCUGGGAAAAUGCCAGGACUUUAAAUACGUGUUUUCUUUUUCUGAAUAUUGGACAUGCCAGCCCAAUGGGCAUAGUGGAUAAGUUUAAUUGAGUGGUUAGAUUUAGUUGAUUGGUUUAAUUGAUUGUUUAGGUUUAAUUGAUUGGUUUUGAUAAAGUGUUCCUAGUCUCCAGAGACAGCAGGCUGUACAGACAAGUGAAGAGUAGGCACUACUCAUUUGAUCAUCUUCGUCACAUGUGUAGAUAAAUAAUAAUAAUAGGAGAAAAAGAAAUAUAAAUUAUUUUUAGGAUGAAACAAUUUAAAAUAUAUGGUUUGGGGAAAAAUAGUUCUGAUUUCUGUCUGAAGUUAUGGACAUGGGGUCUAUAUGAUCAAAGAAACCCAAUAAAACCAUGGCCAGCUGGUGUCAAAAUAAUGACUGGGAAAGGGGGGAGCCAGCGCAAUGGUCAGCAGACAGCUCCCACAGCAGAGGAUGCAGCGAGUUUCCCUAUGGACACAGCAAGGUCUGGCUGCAAAUCAGCAGGAAUUCUUUGGAGAAAAAACAAACAAACAAACAAACAAAAAACUUCAAAUUAAGUGUUGUCUAUUUUAGACCAGCUGUAGCCAGGACUCCAGCAGCUGGUUAACAGAGUCACCAUCUCCUGCUGCCUGAUGUCACUUGUGAGUGACAAGGAGAGGGCAAAGAGGGAAUGACUUGUACCAUCCCUCCCAGCAGAACUAAAGACUUAAAGAUUGAAACUGGAAGGUUUUCAGUACACGCAAAAAGAGGUAUUUCCCUUUCUGAGCCUAUCUAUGGACUCCUUGAACCACAAAGCCCAGGCAGCUGAGAGAGUAUUUCUGAGAAGUACCUUUAACUCUCACCCUGUUCACAGUCUUUUCCAUGAGUAUCUGCUGCCAGCACUUUUGGGAACAGGCUGAGCUACUCACACUGACAUUUUUAUGCUCCUCAGUUACUUAAUUGUCUUUAUUUGACCAAGAAAUUUUAAGCAGAAGAGCAGUGUCUUGGAGGGGUGAGGAUCCGCCGGGUUGCACUGAAGGCCAACAGACCUCAGACUCGGUUCCUGCUGUCACGAGGAGCACAAUCUCCGUGCUGCUGACGUUGAUUUUACAUCUGACUUCAGCUGCAACAGGCUCAAGGAUUUCAUUAUUCAGCAGCCUCUCCAUCUGCUUUAUUGAAAAUGUGUGCAAAGAUUAAACAUGACAAGGAAUUUGUUUCCAAGAUACUGAUAUUUUGGGAUGGAUUAAGAAGUAGCCUUUUAAUUCCAGCUCCAAAAGAAAACAGGUUCAUCAAAUGUCAUCUCGAGAAUAUCCCCCUGCAUCCAGGCACCAUAAGUGUGAGAAAUGAUUUGUCGGGCACCACUACAGCUAGUUUUCGCCUGUUCCUAUCCAUCUCCUGUCAGCACUCACACCCCUGUUGACAAAACGAAUUUCGCUUUGAUUUCAUCUUUCCAGAUAACACAGAUUAACUGGAAGCUGUGUCUUUCUGUUGUUGUGAAAGCGUACAGAAGGAGCAAUCCUACAGAAGAGAUGCAGAUGUCUCAGCGAAGCUUGCAGUCAUAGUAAGCAGUGCAGACCAACAUAUUGCUGGAAACAGAGAGAUACCAGAGGUUCCAGCCACUUCAGUAAGACUUUGGGCACAAUAAAUGCAAAUACCCGUUUUACUAUGCUGUUUUAAUACCAUUUUCAUGUCUCCCAACCAGCACCUCCUGCAGGGUUACGGUCCCCAUCUUCUUGCAUUCAGCCUUCCUCCUCCUCUCCUGCAGCUGUUGUCCCGUAUGCAGCGCGGGGGGAAGAGCAGGGUCAGACAGCCACCACCGAGCUGCCUCCUGUCACCUGCCUUGCCUUCCCCCUGCAAUUCUGGUGUGACAGAUGCAGGAGAGAAGAAGAGCUCCUGGAGGAGCACACAGGUUUAUGUAUUAGUGAAGAUUUCCUCUGUUGUUUCCAGGGCAUGGGGGAAAGAGAGAAUUAGAUGAGCCAUGGCAACCCCUCCCGCUGGGAGACAGCAGCUCCACGCUUACCCUUAUUGCCACAAGGAGACAGUGAUACUGCAGUCAGGGACCUGUGUGACAGUUGUAGUGAGAAGAUCCAGGGAAAUUAAGAUGGAUCCUGCAGAUAAGCGGCAUUUAACAAAAUUAAAGUGGAUGCCUUUGGAGGCAAGAGAUGUGCUCACCUCUGGAGAGCUUGGACAGAGCUGGAGUUUGUUGGAGUGACCUCAUGAGCAGAAGAGGAGCUGUGAGUCACCUUCAUCAUCAUAACGCUUCACAGGGCCAAGAAUCUAAAAUGUCAAGAAGCUUUUUCUGGAAUAGUUGAAUAAGUUAUUUCCUAAAGCAUCUCCAGGCGGCCCCAGAGCAUCUAAUGUGGCCUCAUGUGGUCGGGAAGGGCAGUCAGCCCACAGCCCAGGCGGGCAAGGAUGGAGCUGGUGGCUUCAUACCCUGGAACAAAACCAUGUGUACUGCAGCAUAUUCGGUGUGUUUUACAGCGUGCACAUAGACCAGUGAGAAGAGAUCAUUCGCUCUCACUCCAUCCAGAGAAAGAAAGUCAGGGAAUGGAGGCUGUGAUGAGAUAAAUGGUUAUUAUGAGAUAUAGGCAUUUUUAAUUAGCUCCUGCAGACUGCACCACACUCCUAAUGAGCUCUUGCCAAGUUUGCUGUGAUUCCUCUUUACGUUUUGUAACUCUGUAAUAGUAACAAUAUAAUCAUUUUCUAUAAUAACCAUGAUAAAACCCAGAUAAUCCUUCUGUAACUCCUGCAUAAGCUUCAUGUAAUUAAAUCAGUU
This is a non-coding RNA of Anas platyrhynchos (mallard), 6911 nucleotides long. NCBI's taxonomy places the organism in Eukaryota, Metazoa, Chordata, Aves, Anseriformes, Anatidae. The record is from RefSeq and is a predicted model, not a curated record.